RNAcentral lists this transfer RNA (59 nucleotides) under Sphingobacterium sp. Ag1. RNAcentral's name for it is "tRNA-OTHER". It matches the Rfam family "tRNA". From Rfam's summary of the family: Transfer RNA (tRNA) molecules are approximately 80 nucleotides in length. Their secondary structure includes four short double-helical elements and three loops (D, anti-codon, and T loops). Further hydrogen bonds mediate the characteristic L-shaped molecular structure. tRNAs have two regions of fundamental functional importance: the anti-codon, which is responsible for specific mRNA codon recognition, and the 3' end, to which the tRNAs corresponding amino acid is attached (by aminoacyl-tRNA synthetases). tRNAs cope with the degeneracy of the genetic code in two manners: having more than one tRNA (with a specific anti-codon) for a particular amino acid; and 'wobble' base-pairing, i.e. permitting non-standard base-pairing at the 3rd anti-codon position. The record is from RNAcentral. Lineage: Bacteria; Pseudomonadati; Bacteroidota; Sphingobacteriia; Sphingobacteriales; Sphingobacteriaceae.
GGGGAAGUAGCUCAGUUGGUUAGAGCCUAGGGUCGGUGGUUCAAGUCCGCCCUUCUCCA